UGGAAACUUUACCACAAGCUAGCUCAUAGUGACAAACAGGAAGGAGGCUGUUUGUAUGUGGCAGUGCUCACAUCUCCAAUAGCAGUGUCAGGCCGAACAGGCCACAGAAUUGUGAGGUGAAUGAGUGAGAAUACAAAAAGAAAAAUCAAGAGCUGGUAGGUUCUUAAUUCUGUCAUUUUUCUGCAUGGCCUGCACGAUUCAUUGCUCUCUAUAAACAACAGAUGAAAGGGUGUGGAUCUCUUUGCUCAGUUGAGUCAAAGCUUACAGGUUUGCUUUGGAAGUGGGGAGUUGCUUCGGUACCUCAGUGUGUCUGGGCAGCACUUUCAAGGACUGUCAAUCCUGAGAAUGUUGAGGUUUUGGGUCAAUCUCAGGUUCGUCAGCCCAUGAAAAGCUGUCUUCGCCUAAUCCUAGUAUGAUCAGUAAGGUUUUGUAUAUAUAUCAUCUGUUUGUUUAAACUUUUUAACAUACAUUGCAUUUUGAUAUAGCUUUCAUGAAAAUUAAAGCUACUGUUAUUUGUAUAUUAUUAUUUUUGCUUCUGUAGAUCCUGCUUUUUUAUGAUUAAUGUACAUGGUUUCUUUUUUGACAAUCAUUAUUUACUAACAAUGAAUGUUUAAAGACUCACUGCAAAUUACAAAUUUGGUUUACCAAUUUUUUUUAAAUGCUCAUGCAAAUUAUGGUUAUGAUAAUCUGGGGAUAGGUUUUAAAAUGUAAAAAUAAAUUAUUAUUCUUCAUCAUUUUUUUAAAUUUAAUUAAUUUUAUAGAACAGAUCAAUUGGUGUUUGUGGAGUUUACAACUAUUUUAAAUCUUCUUAACAUUACCUAUUUAAAAAAAUGGAUCCUUGGUAAUUCUUUGCAUAUUUAAAUUUUUCUCAAAUUUUGGUUUAGAAAACAGCAUAGUAAACCCUUUAAUGUCAGAAGCCUUUAGUUUGAGUAGCCCAAGUAUAUUGGCAGAUUAUCGAUACAAAAAUGUAUAUUUCCUUAAUGUAAUGCAAAUGUAUGAAAUAAUUCACACCAUGAAAUCAUUAUACCGUAUAUAUUAUUAAUGUAAUAAAUAUGCCGUAAAUCUGCUACAUAGUUUUUUUCCUGUUUGUUGGGGAGUGUGGAAGUUUAUUUAAAUUCUCAUUUAGAAAAAUAACAGCCGUGGCUCUGAACAGUUGCUUUUCUUUUUUACAUUCUAAAUAAAAAAGUUCUCUAUAACUUACUUACUAUAUGAAUAUAAAAUAUAUAUGAAAAUAACAUUCUAAUUAUUUAUCACCAUAAUGCAAUGCAAUGAGAUUGAGAUUUACAUUUCAAUGAAAUUAGAGUGAAAGGUUUCAGUUCCGCUUGCUACUGACAUAAGUGAAAGGUGCUAGAGCUCAGCAUCCUUGAUCAUCCUGUUCUCAUAAUUAGUUUUUUGUCACAGAGCACAGAAAAUGUAAUAUUAAAUUGCUAGUACCAUGAUACUGUGUGGAGAAACAAGGUGACAAAAUGAGGGUAAAUUUCAUUUCAGGACUUGAUGGAAACAGAAAUUAUCAGUUUAUUUGUCCUAAUUCAGAGGUUUCAAGCACCUAUCUGCUCUUCCCCAGUUCAACACGAUUGUACUAUUUCUGGACAGGUAAAUUACAAUUAAUAUAUUUAAAGUUAUUAGUUAAUAAAACUGCAGUAAAGUCUUAUGUACUGUGUACAAUUUAGGACAACAGUUUUACAGAUCACCACAAGAGGGGCCAUUGUCCAUGAGAAUGUGAAGGUUUUUAUUAAAGGUUUUUUAUUAAAGGUUUUUUUUAUUUAUAUUGAAGGUUUUUAUUAAAACAGUACUGAUGGGGACAUGUCUUAAAGGGUAUGUAUUACGAUGCAUUUUUUGCAUGUGACUGGAGUUGAAAAUAAUAAAAAAUUCAUACUGGUUAAUAACUCUGUACAGCCAUGGAUGUUUAGACAUUUUAUGAAACACAAUGAUGUAAAUCCUUUUGAUACAGCAGUUGAAAAACACUGGAAUGCAUCUGCAUCCACAUACUUUUUGUGCAUAGUUGCAUAGUAUCUUGUUUGAUUUAGCCUUAUAACCCUUCCCAAAUCAAUAAAGAACAACACUUGCUUCUCUGA
Long non-coding RNA from Tachysurus fulvidraco (yellow catfish), 2075 nucleotides. RefSeq lists it as uncharacterized. The record is from RefSeq and is a predicted model, not a curated record. Lineage: Eukaryota; Metazoa; Chordata; Actinopteri; Siluriformes; Bagridae. The transcript has 2 exons.